UACGUAGGGUGCGAGCGUUGUCCGGAAUUAUUGGGCGUAAAGAGCUCGUGGGCGGUGUGUCGCGUCGGCCGUGAAAACCUGCAGCUUAACUGUGGGCUUGCGGUCGAUACGGGCAUCACUGGAGUUCGGCAGGGGAGACUGGAAUUCCUGGUGUAGCGGUGAAAUGCGCAGAUAUCAGGAGGAACACCAGCGGCGAAGGCGGCGCUCUGGGCCGGUACUGACGCUGAGGAGCGAAAGCGUGGGGAGCAAACAGG
Molecule: ribosomal RNA, 254 nt
Filed under: uncultured bacterium
Lineage: Bacteria
Description: partial 16S ribosomal RNA
Rfam family: Bacterial small subunit ribosomal RNA
Source: RNAcentral